Molecule: ribosomal RNA, 780 nt
Filed under: Echinorhynchus gadi
Lineage: Eukaryota; Metazoa; Acanthocephala; Palaeacanthocephala; Echinorhynchida; Echinorhynchidae
Description: SSU rRNA
Rfam family: Eukaryotic small subunit ribosomal RNA
Source: RNAcentral
GUGACGAGAAUAGCGAUGCCGCGAUCAUUUGAUUCGGCAGUUGAAAUGAGAACAAUGAAAGAAUUUUAUCGAGAAUCUAUUGGAGGGCAAGUUCUGGUGCCAGCAGCCGCGGUAAUUCCAGCUCGAAAAGCGUAUGUUAAAGUUGCUGCGGUUAAAACGCUCGUCGUUGGACAUCAGGAGAUGGAUCGUGGACAACCUAGAGUUGCUACUACGGUUUCACUCCUUUUUUAUGCCAGUUCAUCGAUGAUGUACUUGAAUGGUGUGUCACGGUAGAAGGUCAAUGUCACUUUGAGAAAAUUAGUGUGCUCAACGCAGGCUUUACGCUUGUAUAAUGCUGCAUGGGAUGACGGAAUAGGGCCUCGGUUCCGUUUCGUUGGUUUACGAAAGCAGAGGUCAUGAUUAAUCGGGACAGACGGGGGCAUUCGUAUUGCGAUGCUAGAAGUGAAAUUCUGUGACCAUCGCAAGACGGACAACUGCGAAAGCAUUUGCCAAGAAUGUUUUCAUUAAUCAAGAACGAAAGUUAGAGGAUCGAAGACGAUUAGAUACCGUCCUAGUUCUAACUGUAAACUAUGCCGACCGGGGAUUCGCCAAUGCAAUAUUGCUUGGCGAGCACCCUCCGGGAAACCAAAGUGAUUGGGUUCCGGGGGGAGUAUGGUUGCAAAAUCGAAACUUAAAGGAAUUGACGGAGGGGCACACCAGAAGUGGAGCCUGCGGCUCAAUUUGACUCAACGCACGAAAGCUUACUCGGUCCGAACACCGUGAGGAUUGACAGGUGAAAGC